This 318-nucleotide long non-coding RNA is filed under the name Equus asinus (donkey). RNAcentral describes it as "lncRNA (ENSEASG00005036086.1)". The record is from RNAcentral. Lineage: Eukaryota; Metazoa; Chordata; Mammalia; Perissodactyla; Equidae.
UGACAACAUUAGUAACACAAGUAGCAGUUAAUGUUUCUGCAGCACUUAUUGUCAUUAAUUCUUACAAAUAUCCUGACAUUGUCUGAGAGAGCAGGCCUGCGUCUCUCAUGGUUCUUCCAGCCUCAGGAUCCCUCUUUAAUUUCCUUCAUGGGCAUUUCCCCUCAAUAACCUGACAUCUAAUUCCAUGUUGGCACCUGCUCCUCAGAGGGCCCAUUCUAAUCCAGUUAUGGUAUACGGGAGUAUAAUGCAGGAGCGUGUAGGCGAAAUUGUGGUCAUUGGGUGGCCGAGAUUAAGUGCCCAAGAGAACAAAAGUCUCAG